This 254-nucleotide ribosomal RNA is filed under the name uncultured bacterium. RNAcentral's name for it is "partial 16S ribosomal RNA". It matches the Rfam family "Bacterial small subunit ribosomal RNA", at positions 524 to 776 of the family's 1533-position model. The record is from RNAcentral.
GACGAACCGUGCAACCGUUAUUCGGAAUCACUGGGCUUAAAGCGCGUGUAGGCGGGCCGGCACGUCGGUCGCUGAAAUCCCCCGGCUCAACCGGGGAAGCGGCGCCGAUACGACCGGCCUGGAGGGGCGUAGGGGGACCUGGAACUUCCGGUGGAGCGGUGAAAUGCGUUGAGAUCGGAAGGAACGCCCGUGGCGAAAGCGGCAUCCUGGACCAAUACUGACGCUGAGGAGCGAAAGCCAGGGGAGCAAACGGG